This is a long non-coding RNA of Bubalus bubalis (water buffalo), 1028 nucleotides long. RefSeq lists it as uncharacterized. NCBI's taxonomy places the organism in Eukaryota, Metazoa, Chordata, Mammalia, Artiodactyla, Bovidae. The record is from RefSeq and is a predicted model, not a curated record. The transcript has 3 exons.
GUAUGUGUGUGUGUAUACAAAUAUAAACACAUAUAUAUGCAUCACCAUAAUUUGUUAAUGCGUCUGUCAAUAGAUACUUGGUUUGCUUUGGUCUCUUGGCUAUUGUGAACGCUGCGGCUAUGAAUACCAGAGCGCAAACGUCUGUUACCGUGAAAAACUACACGUCUACAAUUUGGGGUUGGAGCAUUAUGUAUUCUUAUUUGGGUUAGCAUUUUCAUCCUUGAGGAGUGUCCCAGCACAAGAGAAAGGAGGAUAUUCUUAAGUGUUUGACUAGAAAAACUGGGCCCGGCCUGGUACUCUGAAGCACAGAAUUCAUGAAUUAAUGCUAGUUUCAAAGUUUUCUCUGAUGACAAAAUCUUUCUGAGUAGUAUGCUGCCAAUUAGCUUUUGAACGUGUUGGUUGGUUUGACUUUCCUAAUCCUAACCGAUGUUCUUGACGUUUGUUGGUCUGGGGGUAGUUUAAUCAAGAUAAAUUGCCUGCUUCUGGGGACGAUGAGGCGGAUGCCGCAGGGCAGCCGGCACCACCUGCAGUACCGGAUUUGGAGCCUCUUUUCAGCGUGGUGUUCUUCCGAAGAUGCAGGACACCCUAGACCUGGGCGUUGACCGUGUUUGGACAGCUUGGGGUGCAGAGGUCCGCCCGCACGACGCAGUGCAGCCCCGUACCAGGGGGAAGCAGGAGCGGUAGUAGUCGCUUCUGGUGGCGCAGCUCCAGUGGACACGACGCACGAAGGUCUGGCGUCUGGCUGCAGACCUGGCCGAGCGCAGUGGGCGUCUCGCUGGAACCAGGGCCCAUGGAGCUGACACAAGAAAACGCAAGUACUCUGGUGACUGCUGUUGCUGUCAACAAGCUACAACAUGUGGUCCCAGUUCAACAAAGAUACAAAACUACAGCCGACCAUGGAAAAUACCACUCACCCUUAGAUGGACACUGCUAUAAGGACUCUGAGGCCUGAGACUAGCAAGAGGAGAGGCCCAAUACCCCUCGCCAUCCCAGUUCAGCAGGAAGUAGCCAGAAAGACCUCAAUGCCC